This 492-nucleotide ribosomal RNA is filed under the name uncultured bacterium. RNAcentral's name for it is "partial 16S ribosomal RNA". It matches the Rfam family "Bacterial small subunit ribosomal RNA", at positions 28 to 523 of the family's 1533-position model. The record is from RNAcentral.
GACGAACGCUGGCGGCGUGCUUAACACAUGCAAGUCGAACGCUGAAGCCCUUUCGGGGGUGGAUGAGUGGCGAACGGGUGAGUAACACGUGGGUAAUCUGCCCUGUACUUCGGGAUAAGCCUUGGAAACGGGGUCUAAUACCGGAUAGGACCUGUCCUCGCAUGGGGGUGGGUGGAAAGUUCCGGCGGUAUGGGAUGAGCCCGCGGCCUAUCAGCUUGUUGGUGGGGUAGUGGCCUACCAAGGCGACGACGGGUAGCCGGCCUGAGAGGGUGACCGGUCACACAGGGACUGAGACACGGCCCAGACUCCUACGGGAGGCAGCAGUGGGGAAUCUUGCGCAAUGGGCGAAAGCCUGACGCAGCAACGCCGCGUGGGGAUGACGGCCUUCGGGUUGUAAACCUCUUUCGACAUCGACGAAGGGGCCCUGUUGUGGGGUUUUGACGGUAGGUGUAGAAGAAGCACCGGCUAACUACGUGCCAGCAGCCGCGGUAA